UCAAAGGGAGAAGGCUCCUGGGACUUGCGAUUUUAAUGGGGUGGCUGCAAUCACUACCACGAAUCCAAGUCAUAAUUAUUGUCUAUUUGGAAGUGGUGGCAACAAUGGAACCUUCGUAAACAACACAGCCCCGGCAUUGAAUUCUUCGAGCUCAGGUUCUUCUUCCCACUACCUCCAUGGCUGUGGUUCAACACGUGCAAUUAUUCUAGUUGGAGUCCUAUCAUUGUUUGCGGUUUUCCUAUGAUUCAUAUGUUAAUGGGUUGUUUGCCAGUAGGGAAUUUUAGCUAGAUGGCAGUUUUUAUUCAUUAUGUGCCCAUGGAGAACUUUGUCUCGAUGUACUGCUCUUGGCCAGUUU
Molecule: long non-coding RNA, 355 nt
Organism: Rhododendron vialii
Lineage: Eukaryota; Viridiplantae; Streptophyta; Magnoliopsida; Ericales; Ericaceae
Exons: 3
Source: RefSeq, a predicted model, not a curated record